AUCCAAAAUGGCGGCCUGUGAAUGUUCGUAGUAUAUAGUGACAUUUUAUUAAUGUGAAAUCUAUUAUUUAUCCGUUAAUUAUUUGUGACUUUAUUUUAAUAGUUGACGUAUAAUUGCAGUGGGAAUGAUAUUAUUUUGCAUUUAUUUAAUGUGUAUAAUUGUUGCAUGUAUUCCGAUGCGCACGUGUAAGAGCUAUCAUAACAAUCCAAGAUGGCCGCUCGUGAAUGUCUCUAGUAAAAGUGUAGUGACGCGUCCUUAAUUUGUUUAAUACUGAUAUAAUUAUUCGUCUGUCGCUUAUUUUCCUCUAUUUUAGCGCAGCUAGAAUUUUUAAAUGACAAUAGUAUUGUUUGUGUAAUCAUUAUAAUGUGUAUAUAUACUAUGUGUUACUUUAGUAUAAUAACAUGUGGAUUGUGUUAUUGUUAAUUUUUAUAAUUUAUCAAUAGCACUGUUUUAUUGUUGUGUUUUGAGCAGUUUAUUUUUAUAGAGUGUUCGCUUAAUUAAUUUAAUACUAAUAUGUGCAUAGUGUGUUAUUACCAGUUCUAGUGCAUAACAUAACCUUAUUUCUCUAUGCCAGAAUUAAUACAAUUAUGCUAUAUUAACUUAGUACAGUAUAAUAAUUUCUUAUCUUAAUCGCGUUUGUCGUUGACACUCGGUUAAUCGGUCGUGAUUAAUUCCUAACCUAUUCCUAUAUUAUUGGCUAUUUUCUGUUUCUUUGUUACGAAGUUGUCGUUACCUUGUGCGUGUAAUUUGCCGCCUUUACAUAGAAUUUUGGAGCUAAUCUAUACAUUGCUAGUUAAAAUCUUUAUUCUUUAUAGGUUCUACAAUUCUAAUCCUUCAACGCUAAGUCCUUUACUUGGAACGGUUACAUGGUGCGCGUUUGGUAUCUUCUGGUUCUUCGUUACAUGUCUAACACUUAUCAAGACUACUUUUACUUACCCUAGAAUUACCGCUUCGUCAACGUUGGAUUAUUUGUUAUGGCGUCACAAAUUUUUCCUUGAUUAUCCAGUUCCCUGUUGCCGUCUUGACUGUUUCGGUGGUGUCUGAUUCAGUAUUCCAUAAGUAUUCACUUAAGUUUGAUAGUAGGCUUCUUGUAACUGCGUCGGCUUUAAUGUAUAUCUUCCGAUGUGAGUAACGAGCUUCUUAUUAUUAUCAAUUUCUAUUCCAAGAUGGUUUACAACAUUCUUCCCCUUUUUAGGUUAUGAUUGGUUACCUCGGUAUAUAUUACUUUAGAUAUCUUCAUACCGUCGUAUAUUAUGUUUUGCAAAGUUGGAUCCGUAGCCCAUUCUCGUGGAGUUCCUGUAUGCACACUUCCUUCUACGAUGAUUGGUUGCAUGCGAACCUCGUUAACUUAUAAGUAUCAACUUCGAUUCUUCGUACACAUUUACUCCAAUUUGGUAGUUGGUUUCUCAUCACUGCGUUGACCUUUGUAUAAACUUCUUCGAUUUGGCUGUCGUAGAUUAUGUUCUACGGAUAUGGACACAUAACCUGUCUUCGCACAUACACUUCCUACUACGAUGAGUAAUUGUUCACGAGGUUACCACUAUCUGCAGUAUUCGACAAACAGUGUUGUUCCAUAUACUACCGUACUCCGUUGUCUCUUGAAAUCGUUCUUGUGGUCUGUUUCGAUUGUGUUAGUUUUAACUUGUUCGAGUGUAUUGUUCGUGGAAUCCCUUUUACUUUAAUCUUGAAGUUUCAUGUGUGAAUUCUGACAAUAGUGCCUGGUUUAUUGAAGUGUGUUAAUAUGCCUAGGUGUUUUAUAUAUUUUAUAUCUAGUUGUAUAUAAGAUAUAUUUUGUUUAUUGUGGUUUUGUAUGUCCAUAUUUGCUGUAUAUUAAAUUGCUUGAUAUUUC
Long non-coding RNA from Bombus huntii, 1849 nucleotides. RefSeq lists it as uncharacterized. The record is from RefSeq and is a predicted model, not a curated record. The transcript has 5 exons. NCBI's taxonomy places the organism in Eukaryota, Metazoa, Arthropoda, Insecta, Hymenoptera, Apidae.